This 805-nucleotide ribosomal RNA is filed under the name uncultured bacterium. Its description in RNAcentral is "bacterial SSU rRNA". It matches the Rfam family "Bacterial small subunit ribosomal RNA", at positions 100 to 907 of the family's 1533-position model. The record is from RNAcentral.
GGACGGGUGAGUAAUACUUAGGGAUCUGCCUCUGUGUGGGGGAUAACUAUUGGAAACGAUAGCUAAUACCGCAUAACGUCUACGGACCAAAGAGGGCUUCGGCUCUCGCGCAGAGAGGAACCUAAGCGAGAUUAGCUUGUUGGUGAGGUAAAGGCUCACCAAGGCGACGAUCUCUAGCUGUUCUGAGAGGAAGAUCAGCCACACUGGAACUGAGACACGGUCCAGACUCCUACGGGAGGCAGCAGUGGGGAAUAUUGCACAAUGGGGGAAACCCUGAUGCAGCCAUGCCGCGUGUGUGAAGAAGGCCUUCGGGUUGUAAAGCACUUUCAGUUGUGAGGAAAGUUAUGUAGUUAAUACCUGCAUGAUGUGACGUUAACAACAGAAGAAGCACCGGCUAACUCCGUGCCAGCAGCCGCGGUAAUACGGAGGGUGCGAGCGUUAAUCGGAAUUACUGGGCGUAAAGCGCACGCAGGCGGUCUGUUAAGCUAGAUGUGAAAGCCCCGCGCUCAACGUGGGAGGGUCAUUUAGAACUGGCAGACUAGAGUCUUGGAGAGGGGAGUGGAAUUCCAGGUGUAGCGGUGAAAUGCGUAGAGAUCUGGAGGAACAUCAAUGGCGAAGGCAACUCCCUGGCCAAAGACUGACGCUCAUGUGCGAAAGUGUGGGUAGCGAACAGGAUUAGAUACCCUGGUAGUCCACACCGUAAACGCUGUCUACUAGCUGUUUGUGGAUUUAAUCCGUGAGUAGCGAAGCUAACGCGAUAAGUAGACCGCCUGGGGAGUACGGCCGCAAGGUUAAAACUCAAAUG